This 848-nucleotide ribosomal RNA is filed under the name uncultured bacterium. RNAcentral describes it as "bacterial SSU rRNA". It matches the Rfam family "Bacterial small subunit ribosomal RNA", at positions 544 to 1393 of the family's 1533-position model. The record is from RNAcentral.
UCNGGAUUUAUUGGGCGUAAAGCGAGCGCAGGCGGUUAGAUAAGUCUGAAGUUAAAGGCAGUGGCUCAACCAUUGUAGGCUUUGGAAACUGUUUAACUUGAGUGCAGAAGGGGAGAGUGGAAUUCCAUGUGUAGCGGUGAAAUGCGUAGAUAUAUGGAGGAACACCGGUGGCGAAAGCGGCUCUCUGGUCUGUAACUGACGCUGAGGCUCGAAAGCGUGGGGAGCGAACAGGAUUAGAUACCCUGGUAGUCCACGCCGUAAACGAUGAGUGCUAGGUGUUAGGUCCUUUCCGGGACUUAGUGCCGCAGCUAACGCAUUAAGCACUCCGCCUGGGGAGUACGACCGCAAGGUUGAAACUCAAAGGAAUUGACGGGGGCCCGCACAAGCGGUGGAGCAUGUGGUUUAAUUCGAAGCAACGCGAAGAACCUUACCAGGUCUUGACAUCCCGAUGCCCGCUCUAGAGAUAGAGCUUUACUUCGGUACAUCGGUGACAGGUGGUGCAUGGUUGUCGUCAGCUCGUGUCGUGAGAUGUUGGGUUAAGUCCCGCAACGAGCGCAACCCUUAUUGUUAGUUGCCAUCAUUCAGUUGGGCACUCUAGCGAGACUGCCGGUAAUAAACCGGAGGAAGGUGGGGAUGACGUCAAAUCAUCAUGCCCCUUAUGACCUGGGCUACACACGUGCUACAAUGGCUGGUACAACGAGUCGCAAGCCGGUGACGGCAAGCUAAUCUCUGAAAGCCAGUCUCAGUUCGGAUUGUAGGCUGCAACUCGCCUACAUGAAGUCGGAAUCGCUAGUAAUCGCGGAUCAGCACGCCGCGGUGAAUACGUUCCCGGGCCUUGUACACACCGC